GACGAACGCUGGCGGCGUGCUUAACACAUGCAAGUCGAACGGAAAGGCCCUGCUUUUGUGGGGUGCUCGAGUGGCGAACGGGUGAGUAACACGUGAGUAACCUGCCCUUGACUUUGGGAUAACUUCAGGAAACUGGGGCUAAUACCGGAUAGGAGCUCCUGCUGCAUGGUGGGGGUUGGAAAGUUUCGGCGGUUGGGGAUGGACUCGCGGCUUAUCAGCUUGUUGGUGGGGUAGUGGCUUACCAAGGCUUUGACGGGUAGCCGGCCUGAGAGGGUGACCGGCCACAUUGGGACUGAGAUACGGCACAGACUCCUAAGGGAGGCAGCAGUGGGGAAUAUUGCACAAUGGGCGGAAGCCUGAUGCAGCAACGCCGCGUGCGGGAUGACGGCCUUCGGGUUGUAAACCGCUUUCGCCUGUGACGAAGCGUGAGUGACGGUAAUGGGUAAAGAAGCACCGGCUAACUACGUG
Molecule: ribosomal RNA, 468 nt
Filed under: uncultured bacterium
Lineage: Bacteria
Description: partial 16S ribosomal RNA
Rfam family: Bacterial small subunit ribosomal RNA
Source: RNAcentral